CUAGGUGACAGCAACAUCGGGUUUGCUCUUUCAGUCGGAGGCAGCAUUGGACCGGGCGUUAUAACCAGCUCCAAGUUCAAAGGGAAAAGCUUCAUGACAAAACGUUAUAAACCAAAACAGCGGAAAUACAGAUACGAUUAUGAUGACUAUGGACCCGGAAUGUGGCUACCUUGGUGGCCACCACCACCUUACUUUUAAAUAAAAGGAUUUUAAACUCAGCA
Long non-coding RNA from Helicoverpa armigera (cotton bollworm), 221 nucleotides. RefSeq lists it as uncharacterized. NCBI's taxonomy places the organism in Eukaryota, Metazoa, Arthropoda, Insecta, Lepidoptera, Noctuidae. The record is from RefSeq and is a predicted model, not a curated record. The transcript is spliced from 2 exons.